This 245-nucleotide unclassified non-coding RNA is filed under the name uncultured Russula. RNAcentral's name for it is "sequence contains ITS2". The record is from RNAcentral. Lineage: Eukaryota; Fungi; Basidiomycota; Agaricomycetes; Russulales; Russulaceae.
AAUUCUCAAAACCCUUCCUUUGUUGGAAAGGGAUUUGGACUUGGAGGUCUUUUGCUCGCUUCACCUUUGAAGCGAGCUCCUCCUAAAUGGAUUAGUGGGGUCUGCUUUGCCGAUCCUUGACGUGAUAAGAUGUUUCUACGUCUCGGGGCUUUGGCACUGUACCUCCGCUUCUAACCGUCUCAUCGACAACGAUGGUGUUCCGGUCACCGCCGAUUCGUCGGCAGUUGGCUUGACCCACAAAACAA